Long non-coding RNA from Homo sapiens (human), 1787 nucleotides. Lineage: Eukaryota; Metazoa; Chordata; Mammalia; Primates; Hominidae. The record is from Ensembl.
AUUUAAAUCUCUAAACUAAAAAAGUAGAAUGGUUUGACCCCACCAUUUUGACUAGAGAUAUUUCAAUUCUCAUAGUGAAGAUUAAUAAUACAAAUAAUCCACGCAAAAUGGAUAACGGUUAAAACUAUAUGUGAUACAACUUACGAUGACCAAAAAUUGUUGGAAGAAAAAUAUUUUGGAAAAUAUUUUGUUGUGUUUAAUUUGAUCCUGAAAAGUUGACUUAAAGAAAUACUGAUCCCUAAAGAAAACUUACGAUAGCAGAAUCUGUAGUCAGUUAAUUUUGAUGUGGCCCAAAACAGAGUCAUUUAAAUAAAAAAAAAUCCUGAUAAAAUAGUUUUGGUGAAUUAAAAAUAAGAGUCGAUGAGCUAGAGGCUGGGCAUGGUGGCUCACAUCUGUAAUUCCAGCACUUUGGCAGGCCGAGGCAGGUGGAUCACUUGAGGCCAGGAGUUCAAGACCCACCUGGCCAACAUACAAAAAGUAGCCAGGCAUGGGUGAGGCAUGCCUGUAAUACCAGCUACUCAGGAGGCUGAGGCAGGAGAAUGGCUUGAACCCAGGAGGUGGAGGUUGCAGAGAGCCGAGAUGAUGCCACUGCACUCCAGCCUGGGUGACAGAGCAAGACUCUGUAUAAAAAAAUAAAAAAUAAAGUGGAUGAGUUAGAAUUGGGUUUCUAUCCUUUAUUUUUAUAAAAUGGAUCAAGGUUUUAACAUGUCUGAAUAAAAUUUGCCAUGGACAGCUGCCCAACCUUGACCUGCUCAAUCUCUUCCAGACCUUCUGCCAGAAAGUGGGCCUGCUGUGCACGCUUCAGGGUAAGCUGCAGCCCCAGGACUGGACAUUGUUGGACGAACUGCUGCAGGGCCUGCAAACACUGCUGCUCAUGAUUUUGUGGCAGGCUUCCCGUGGCCUCUUCCUGCACUACCAUGUGGAGGCCCUAACCCUGCGUCGCAUCAGUAGCUUCCGCCAGUACAAGUAUGACCUGGUGGCAGCGGGCAAGGCUUUGGAGGGCAUGUUCUGCAAGCUCAACCACCUCCUGGAACACCCGCACCAGCUGUUCUUCCUCUACCUGCUCCCCACUCUGUCCCGCUUCGUCUCCAUCGGCCUCUACAUGCCCGCCACCAGCUUCUUGCUCCUGGUCCUUGGUUUCAAGGCUCUGCAACUGUGGAUGCAGCUGCAUGAGGCCGGAGUGGGCCUUGAGGAGCUCAGGGGGGUCCCUGACCCUAGUGUCCCCGCUCCCCCAGCACAGGAUGGUAAGCACACAGGUCCCAGACAGGGGCUGGAUGGCUCUGAAGCUGGUAGCCCUGAUCUACCUAAUACUGCAGCUGGGCUGCAUCGCCCUCACCAACUUCUGACUGGACUUCCUGCUGGCCGCCACUAUGGUGCUGCCGCUGUGCUCGCCGAGCCUUUGGGCCCUGGACCCUCUGUGCUGCCCUGCUGGUGUUGACAAGCCCAGCAGCCACGCUCCUUGGCAGCCCAUUCCUGUGGCGGGAGCUGCAGGAGGCACCACUGUCACUGGCCAAGGGCUGGCAGCUCUUCCUGGCAGCACUGGCCCAGGGUGCGCUGGAGCACCACACCUAAGGCGCCCUGCUCUUCCCACUGCUGUCCCUGGGCCUCUGCCCUUGCUGACUACUUUUCUGGAAUGUGCUCUUCUGGAAGUGAGAUCUGCCUGUCCGGGGCACCAGGCUGGGACAGAGACUCCCCAAGGACCCCAUUCUGCCUCCUUCUGGGGAAAUAAACAAGUGCCUGUUUCAGCUGCUUUAAAAAAAAAUAGAAAAAAAAAAUGCCCUGGAAAA